CAAAGUUUUGGUCCUAAACUUGUUGCUGUUUUUGAUUAAAAUUACACAUGUAAGUUUCCGCACACCGGUGAACACCGCCCAUAAAGAAGAAGGGAGCAGGUAUCAGGCACGAACCUCAGCCCAAAACACCUUGCUACGCCACACCCCCACGGGAAAUCAACAGUGAUAAACAUUAAGCCAUAAGUGAAUUCCCACAAAACUUGACUUAGUUAUAAUCAUCCAGGGCCGGCCAAUCUCGUGCCAGCCGCCGCGGUUACACGAAAGGCCCAAAUCAGCAGCCAACGGCGUAAAUUGUGACUAGAAUUCUAGCCCCACAAAAAGAAAAGAACCUCCACCUAACCGUAAAACACAGGUGAAAUGAAACUCCUUUAACCAAGGCAAUUUGAACUCACGAAAAUUAGGAAACAAACUAGGAUUAGAUACCCUACUAUGCCUAACUUUAAACAAGACACACUAAACCCCAAUGUCCGCCAGAAAACUACAAGCUAAAAGCUUAAAACUCAAAAGACUUGACGGUGUCCCACACCCGACUUAGAGGAGCCUGUCCUAUAAUCGAUGAUCCACGAUAAACCUCACCACCUUUUGCUAAUCCCGCCUAUAUACCGCCGUCGAAAAUUUACCUCACAAGAGAAACAUCGUAAAUUAAACAGUUAGACCACUAGAACGUCAGGUCAAGGUGUAGCUUACAAGGUGGCAGAGAUGGGCUACAUUCUCUAACAUUAGAGAACACAGAAAGAGUCAUGAAACAACUCCAAAGGAGAAUUUAAUAGUAAAGUUGUCAAGAAAGUCAACUUUAAACACGCUCUGGGACGCGUACACACCGCCCGUCACCCUCCUCUACACAUCAAUAUAUUCCAUAAAAAUUUUUCACCUAAAAGAUGAGGCAAGUCGUAACAUGGUAAGCGUACUGGAAAGUGUGCUUGGAAA
RNAcentral lists this non-coding RNA (927 nucleotides) under Uracentron flaviceps. RNAcentral describes it as "12S small subunit RNA". It matches the Rfam family "Bacterial small subunit ribosomal RNA". Lineage: Eukaryota; Metazoa; Chordata; Lepidosauria; Squamata; Tropiduridae. The record is from RNAcentral.